GUGAGGAAGUAAUAAGUAGGGAUAUGGAGUUGCGCGGCGAUGGGUAGGGACUCGCUGCAGAAGAAGUCGAUGAUGAAGGCGGAGACUCGGGGGGAGAUGGACUGCAGGGCGCGGCGGACGUCGGGGUUGCUGCGGCGGAGGACCUCGAAGUAGACGGCCUCUAUUGAGGGGAAGGUGUCGAGGUCGAGGGACACAGCGGGGAGGUGGUGGAAGGUGAUGGAGGGGACGGUGGCGGAGAUGUGGCGGACGUAGUCCAUGGUGGAGCCGGUGUUGAAGGAGGGCGGCGCCACCAGGACGGUGACGGAGAGGGAGGGGUGGUGGUGGAGGAUGAAUUUGCCGAGCUCCACCAUGGACACCAGGUGGCCCAUUCCUGGAGAUGGGUAGAGGACUAUAGUUGGACUUGUCAUCUUCA
This 412-nucleotide long non-coding RNA is filed under the name Salvia miltiorrhiza (redroot sage). Its description in RNAcentral is "long non-coding RNA (SMIL_LNC006060)". Lineage: Eukaryota; Viridiplantae; Streptophyta; Magnoliopsida; Lamiales; Lamiaceae. The record is from RNAcentral.